GACAAUUCUGCAGAGAAUCGUCAUGGUGGGUUUGCCUGGUCGUCGCCUUGUAUGUAUGUAAUCUAUCAGGCUAAGCGACAUUUCCAGGGCCACAAUGUGUGCGAUGCCUCGAUCCCAAUUACGGCAGCUUGCCGCUGAAAAAGCCUCUCAAGAUGCUGGCAAAGCAAUUCAGCACGUAAUAAUCGGUGACGUGUGUACCGUACAGUACGACAGCUACUGCACAUCCUGUCCUCAUUCCCUGCUGCUUUGUUGGUCAACCUGCUUUCUCAAAACAAACUUCAAUGGGACAAUAUUUACUACAUAAUGGUGCCGUUAUGCCGAAUGGUAUGCUCCUGCUGCAAAAUCUGCUCCAUCCCUGCCGUUCCGCUUGCUGCCCGUGCCUCGCAAUCAUGCUCGUACCUCUUUCACAGUGCCACUUCUACAAAUCCAACUUGUGAUUGUUGCGGAAAUGCGUUGCCCAGCAAAUGCAUUGCCCUAGGUCUCUUUGCUCUUUUCUCAAGCCCUCCCCUUGCCCUACAUCACCAGAAAAUAUUUAUAUAAUAUUAACUCGUUUACCUCGCCACAGGAGUACCUCCAUCCACCAUACACCAGCAAGUCAGAUCCGCAGCGGACCAGCGAUGCGCACAUCCGCAUGCCAGG
This 639-nucleotide long non-coding RNA is filed under the name Volvox carteri. RNAcentral describes it as "long non-coding RNA (VCAR_LNC001656)". Lineage: Eukaryota; Viridiplantae; Chlorophyta; Chlorophyceae; Chlamydomonadales; Volvocaceae. The record is from RNAcentral.